AGCUCCAAUAGCGUAUAUUAAAGUUGUUGCAGUUAAAAAGCUCGUAGUUGAAUUUCUGUCUGGUAAGAGUGCGUCAAUCGACAUAUCUCGAUACCAGACAUCUUUCUGCACUUCUACCUCUGGUAGUUGUCGCAGAACCUUUACUUUGAGAAAAUUAGAGUGUUUCAAGCAAGCGUUUGCUUUUGAAUACUACAGCAUGGAAUAAUAUUAUAGGACUUUGGUGCCUAUUUGUUGGUUUCUGGGCCUAAGGUAAUGAUUAAUAGGGACAGUUGGGGGUAUUCGUAUUUGUCAGUCAGAGGUGAAAUUCGUAGAUUUGACAAAGACGAACUACUGCGAAAGCAUUUACCAAGGAUGUUUUCA
This 360-nucleotide ribosomal RNA is filed under the name uncultured eukaryote. RNAcentral describes it as "SSU rRNA". It matches the Rfam family "Eukaryotic small subunit ribosomal RNA", at positions 587 to 972 of the family's 1831-position model. The record is from RNAcentral.